AACGAACGCUGGCGGUAGGCCUAACACAUGCAAGUCGAGCGAGGACUUCGGUCCUAGCGGCGGACGGGUGAGUAACGCGUGGGAACGUGCCCUUUGCUUCGGAAUAGCCCUGGGAAACUGGGAGUAAUACCGGAUGAGCCCUUUGGGGGAAAGAUUUAUCGGCGAAGGAUCGGCCCGCGUUGGAUUAGGUAGUUGGUGGGGUAAUGGCCUACCAAGCCGACGAUCCAUAGCUGGUUUGAGAGGAUGAUCAGCCACACUGGGACUGAGACACGGCCCAGACUCCUACGGGAGGCAGCAGUGGGGAAUCUUAGACAAUGGGGGAAACCCUGAUCUAGCCAUGCCGCGUGAGCGAUGAAGGCCUUAGGGUUGUAAAGCUCUUUCAGCUGGGAAGAUAAUGACGGUACCAGCAGAAGAAGCCCCGGCUAACUCCGUG
RNAcentral lists this ribosomal RNA (433 nucleotides) under uncultured bacterium. Its description in RNAcentral is "partial 16S ribosomal RNA". It matches the Rfam family "Bacterial small subunit ribosomal RNA", at positions 29 to 507 of the family's 1533-position model. The record is from RNAcentral.